CACGUAGGGCGCAAGCGUUGUCCGGAAUUAUUGGGCGUAAAGAGCUCGUAGGUGGUCUGUUGCGUCCGCUGUGAGAACUCGGGGCUUAACCCCGAGCCUGCAGUGGAUACGGGCAGACUAGAGGUAGGUAGGGGAGAAUGGAAUUCCCGGUGUAGCGGUGAAAUGCGCAGAUAUCGGGAGGAACACCGGUGGCGAAGGCGGUUCUCUGGGCCUUACCUGACGCUGAGGAGCGAAAGCGUGGGGAGCGAACAGG
This 253-nucleotide ribosomal RNA is filed under the name uncultured bacterium. RNAcentral describes it as "partial 16S ribosomal RNA". It matches the Rfam family "Bacterial small subunit ribosomal RNA", at positions 524 to 776 of the family's 1533-position model. The record is from RNAcentral.